This 416-nucleotide ribosomal RNA is filed under the name uncultured bacterium. Its description in RNAcentral is "bacterial SSU rRNA". It matches the Rfam family "Bacterial small subunit ribosomal RNA", at positions 29 to 489 of the family's 1533-position model. The record is from RNAcentral.
AGCGAACGCUGGCGGCAGGCUUAACACAUGCAAGUCGAGCGGGCGUAGCAAUACGUCAGCGGCAGACGGGUGAGUAACGCGUGGGAACAUACCUUUUGGUUCGGAACAACACAGGGAAACUUGUGCUAAUACCGGAUAAGCCCUUACGGGGAAAGAUUUAUCGCCGAAAGAUUGGCCCGCGUCUGAUUAGCUAGUUGGUGAGGUAAUGGCUCACCAAGGCGACGAUCAGUAGCGGUCUGAGAGGAUGAUCAGCCACAUUGGGACUGAGACACGGCCCAAACUCCUACGGGAGGCAGCAGUGGGGAAUAUUGGACAAUGGGCGCAAGCCUGAUCCAGCCAUGCCGCGUGAGUGAUGAAGGCCCUAGGGUUGUAAAGCUCUUUUGUGCGGGAAGAUAAUGACGGUACCGCAAGAAUAA